RNAcentral lists this ribosomal RNA (253 nucleotides) under uncultured bacterium. Its description in RNAcentral is "partial 16S ribosomal RNA". It matches the Rfam family "Bacterial small subunit ribosomal RNA", at positions 524 to 776 of the family's 1533-position model. The record is from RNAcentral.
UACAGAGGUCUCAAGCGUUGUUCGGAUUCAUUGGGCGUAAAGGGUGCGUAGGUGGCGCCGUAAGUCGGGUGUGAAAUUUCGGAGCUUAACUCCGAAACUGCAUUCGAUACUGCGGUGCUUGAGGACUGGAGAGGAGACUGGAAUUCAUGGUGUAGCAGUGAAAUGCGUAGAGAUCAUGAGGAAGACCAGUGGCGAAGGCGGGUCUCUGGACAGUGCCUGACACUGAGGCACGAAGGCCAGGGGAGCAAACGGG